Non-coding RNA from Neomonachus schauinslandi (Hawaiian monk seal), 1243 nucleotides. Lineage: Eukaryota; Metazoa; Chordata; Mammalia; Carnivora; Phocidae. The record is from the annotation of a RefSeq genome assembly.
AGCCUGGUGGUCACACAGCCUCCUCUCUUGCAGCCUCCACCACGGCCCCAUCGGUUUUCCCACUGGCCCCCUGCUGCGGGACCACAUCCGGCUCCACAGUGGCCCUGGCCUGCCUGGUGUCCAGCUACUUCCCCGAGCCUGUGACUGUGUCCUGGAACUCCGGCUCCUUGACCAGUGGUGUGCACACCUUCCCGUCCGUCCUGCAGUCCUCAGGGCUCUACUCUCUCAGCAGCAUGGUGACAGUGCCCUCCAGCAGGUGGCCCAGUGACACCUUCACCUGCACUGUGGCCCACCCGGCCAGUAAGACCAAGGUGGACAAGCAAGGUGAGAGGACGGGCCUCAGAGACGGUGUCCACUGGGAGACAGGCCAGGUCAGCUGGCCACCUGGACCCCAGGGCACAGGGGAAGCACCGCUCCCCUGUAAGGAAUGUCCCAAAUGUCCAGGCUGUUGUUUGCAGGGAGGACCUUCGGUCUUCAUCUUCCCCCCAAAACCCAAGGACACCCUCUCCAUUACCCGAACCCCCGAAGUCACAUGCAUGGUGGUGGACCUGGAAGACCCUGAGGUCCAGAUCAGCUGGUUCGUGGAUGACCAGGAGGUGCACACAGCCAAGACGAAGGUGCCUGAGGAGCAGUUCAACAGCACCUACCGUGUGGUCAGUGUCCUCCCCAUCGUGCACCAGGACUGGCUCAAGGGGAAGGAGUUCAAGUGCAAGGUCAACAACAAAGCCCUCCCAUCCCCCAUCCAGAGGACCAUCUCCAAGGCCAGAGGGCAGGCCCAUCAGCCCAAUGUGUACGUCCUGCCCCCAUCCCGGGACGAGAUGAACAAGAACACAGUCAGCGUGACCUGCCUGGUCAAAGACUUCUACCCAUCUGAGGUUGAUGUCGAGUGGCAGAGCAAUGGCCAGCAGAUGCCAGAAAGCAGUAUCCGAACAACCCCACCCCAGCUGGAUGCAGAUGGGACCUACUUCCUCUACAGCAAGCUCUCAGUGGACAAGAACCGAUGGCAGCGGGGAGAGGUCUUCACGUGUGCGGUCAUGCAUGAAGCUCUACACAACCACCACACACAGAAAUCCAUCUCCCAGUCUCCGGGUAAAUGAGCAACACGCCCGGGAUCCCAGCAAGCCCCCCACCCAUGGGCUCUCAGGGUCCCACAAGGACGCCAGAGCCCCCACCCCUGUGUACAUACCUCCCAGGCAGGCACCCCUGCAUGAAAUAAAGCACCCAGCACUGCCCUGAGACCCUG